Molecule: ribosomal RNA, 253 nt
Filed under: uncultured bacterium
Lineage: Bacteria
Description: partial 16S ribosomal RNA
Rfam family: Bacterial small subunit ribosomal RNA
Source: RNAcentral
UACAGAGGGUGCAAGUGUUGUUCGGAAUUACUGGGCGUAAAGGGCGCGUAGGCGGCUUGGUCAGUCCCGUGUGAAAUCCCUCGGCUCAACUGAGGAACUGCACGGGAAACUGCCUGGCUUGAGUUCGGGAGAGGGAAGCGGAAUUCCGGGUGUAGCGGUGAAAUGCGUAGAUAUCCGGAGGAACACCGGUGGCGAAGGCGGCUUCCUGGACCGACACUGACGCUGAGGCGCGAAAGCUAGGGGAGCAAACGGG